This 1147-nucleotide long non-coding RNA is filed under the name Pogona vitticeps (central bearded dragon). Its description in RNAcentral is "lncRNA (ENSPVIG00000002779.1)". The record is from RNAcentral. Lineage: Eukaryota; Metazoa; Chordata; Lepidosauria; Squamata; Agamidae.
GGGUGAACCGCGAGGGGUGUUUUGGGGGAGGACAAAAUUGAGGAAAACAGGCUCGAGAAGAACCACCGCCACCAGCACCGAUGCAGAUUCUGGUUCCCCUUUCUCCCAGGCCUUCUCUUCUUCCUUAGGUGGAUCAGUCUCAACUCUGUCCAUUCCUGUCUUCUUUGAAGUUGCUCCGGAGGUCUUUUGCACGUUGCAUGUUGAGCGGGUGAAGGAAAAGAAUCAAUGAAGAAUUUGGUUCUGGAGAACUCCAAAGGACCUGGAAAGUUUUUCCCUGGCUAGCUUUGUGUUUUUGAUCCCCCCCUUUCACAUUUCUGCUAUGCCUGUUGCAGGGAAUGUUAGUUUAUCCUACUUGCUCUUUCCCUGUUGGCUGGACGAUUUUGCUUUGCUCCUGAUCUGAAUGAAUAAGCAAGAGGCUCUGAAAAAUGUUGGGAAGUUUCAGGGCUCUUCAGGAGCUUUCGUCCCAGGCCUUCUACUGGCCCCGUCUGUGUGCAGGGAAAUUAAGGCACAGCCCAGUCAACAGCCCACUGACCCACUCACUGUAGCUUCUACAGUAGGUUUGAGAAGUGUCGGAUGUUAACCCAGCAAGUAACACCAAGCAGCUGUUAUGGGAACUUGUGGAUUCAGAAUGUCUAGGACAACAUGUUUUCCCUUUUAGAAACAAAUCAUAUGUAUACUUAUUUCUACAAGACAAUGGGAACGCUAAUGUUUAUCAGAGAGAUACACUGAGAUCAGAAAGGUGGUAGGAAGCUUAAUUCUAGCUAAGAUGCUGGAGCCACGGCUGCUUCUUCAUGUCUCAAAAGCAAAACGUCCCCUGCAUCAUCUCCAGAGAUGGACAAGGAAGAAAUAUGUGAAAUACGGAAAUCACAACAGCAUCUCUAAGAAUACCACUCCAUAGCAAUGGCUCCUUAUCUUGGGCCCCCAGAUGUUCUUGGGCUAAAACUCCCAGUUGCCUUCGACACUAGCAAUGCUGGCCAGGAUUUCUGGGAGUUAUAGUCCAAGAACAUCUGAAGACUCAAGAUUGGGAACCACUGGUCUAGACUGAAGGAAAGUCAGGAUAGGUGUCCUUUCCUCACCUACCAUAGUUCUAGUCCUGCUCCUGGUAAAGGCUAGUGUAGGGAUCUUCACAGAGGUCUAUCUCCCUCCU